Long non-coding RNA from Etheostoma spectabile (orangethroat darter), 910 nucleotides. RefSeq lists it as uncharacterized. The transcript has 3 exons. NCBI's taxonomy places the organism in Eukaryota, Metazoa, Chordata, Actinopteri, Perciformes, Percidae. The record is from RefSeq and is a predicted model, not a curated record.
GUCCACCACAGGUGUACGUUUCUUUAACUGUCUAUGUGUCCGUGCCGCCGGAAUGGAAGAAACCUCAGCAAAGUUAACCACUUGCUGCAGUUACCUGCACCCACCGGCGUUUCUUAAAAGAAAAGAAAGAGUGGAGCUGAAACAGCGACAACUUAAAGGCUUUUUAGACGCAGCAAGAGGACAAACAGGAAUACAUUGUGGAAAUGCUUUUCAGCGAUGGAGACCGCUGAAAGAGUUGAAAGGGAUAAAAACUGAUGAUUGUCGUUUUUUGUUGGACAGUUAUGGCGAGGAUAAUUCGACGUCGACACCGGGAAAUCACGGUUCUCUCCUGCUGUGUUAACUUGUGUUUCACAGUCUGUCUCCGACCGGACAAUCUCUGCCAGAGUAGUUUGCCACAGCUGAUGAUACUACCACAUCCAGAGCCAGACCUGUCUUCUAACACUGAACCCCUAGACAAAGAUUGAUUACUAUAUAUUAAUUGUCUAUAUGAAAAAUAAACAAGUUUUACUUUAGUUGGUUGAAAUUAUUUUGUGCAGCAUGUACAGGAAUGAGAUAUGUCGUGAUAGUUGUAAUAGCAUGCAUUGAAUAAUUCAUCUUUAUUGAACAAAAUAUAAAAAAACAAGGCAUACUUUAAAAAGGAUUAAAUACAAAGGUAAACUAUGUAAAUUGUGUAGAAUUGUAUGUAAAAUGAUGGCGUGUUGAUGAGUUUAACCCCAGUCCUUAUCCAAGUGAGACGAAGCCCAGAGGAGAUGCUACUUUAAAAUCUUGCUAGUUUCUCAACUUUACCAGCCCUGCACAGCAAUGCCUUUCAAGGAAUGAUAUCUAACAAGCCACUCACAACAAAACCUACAAGUAGAGUUUGAUCAAACAAUUUCUUCUUGGAGAUUUACUUAUUUGCAUACCAAAGUUU